GAGAAGACGACUAUGCGAUUAGGGAAGAGAUGAUGAACUGAGGCAUCGAAUCCUGGAGAAAUGAAUGUGAGCCAUGCGACGGUUCACCCAGUCGAAGAUCCCCCCACUACCGAUGGCGCGAAUGCGCCAAUGGUCAGGAUGAAGGACAUGGAAGGAAUGCCUGGCACCCGGGGAGGACUCGCUUUGCGAUUCUCUCAGUUUCUCUUU
This 207-nucleotide unclassified non-coding RNA is filed under the name Hevea brasiliensis (rubber tree). Lineage: Eukaryota; Viridiplantae; Streptophyta; Magnoliopsida; Malpighiales; Euphorbiaceae. The record is from RNAcentral.